RNAcentral lists this long non-coding RNA (1050 nucleotides) under Daphnia magna. RNAcentral's name for it is "uncharacterized LOC123472293, transcript variant X4". The record is from RNAcentral. Lineage: Eukaryota; Metazoa; Arthropoda; Branchiopoda; Diplostraca; Daphniidae.
UUAAAUUUCAUCCGUUUUCUAGGCAGAGUUUCAAGAUGCUGCAACUCAGCAUCCGGUACAAUUCUAUUUGGUAAUCCUGGAAAUGAAACAUGAGCUCUACGAUAAAUCCAUCCAAAAAUUAGGCGGCCAGAGAGACAGAGGUACUUAACAGUACAGAGACUUUAAACUAAGGAAGAAAAUGCCUUUUCAGUUACAGUUGCAGAUGUCCUUGUUGAUGAGUAGGCCGUUGUUGACGGAUGUGACACGGGAAUUUCUCUCGGAGGAAUACCAGGACUUUCAUACCUAGCUAUCAAAUCAGUGGAUUCAGGAGAUUUGAUUGUUCUGAAUUUGAUCAAAUAUGCACCUUUAAUCAAUUCGUAUAGUAGCACCGCACAAAGAAUCGUGGCGAUAAUUUCAAAUGAAACUAUGACUGCACCAAAUCCAAACAAGCAACCAAUAUAAUAAUCAAUUGCUCCGAUUACUUUCGGCCCACAACCCUGUAUUUAUGAAAAGAUUUACCAAAAUAGCUUAAUCAGCUAAAACAGUAUUCUAACAAACAAACAGUAUACCUCCAUGAACAAGACAUGGCCAACAGGAGUGUUGAUGUUACGAAUUCCAUCCAAGUGCAUUUCUUCACAGAGAUCGGAUUGCCAAUCAAUGCAGCACGAUUUUGGCACGAUGAAAGUCUUGGUGGGCCACGCUCCUUUAGUACGCCUUGCUGGAUCAAGUCGAUGACAGUGGUGUUCGCAAUGUCAUUGCCAUAGUGACGCUGAAUGGCCCAGAAAAUACCGAGGUGAACUUUUUCGUGAAACGGAGCCAGUUCGUUAAAAAGGGCAUAUACCAAACCGAGAAGAGGAGGAUUUCCUUUAGCAACCCCAGUACAUCCAAUGGAACUGACGAUCAUCAAUGACACUCCUGUCGCCACCAACACGUAUCCGGCUAGGUAGCUCCCGCUUCCGUGGAAUAGUAAAUAGCUAUAAUCAUUGUCAAAAACGAUUCGUAGAGAAACAGCCAAGAUAACUGUCCCAAUAACCUGUUUCAAAUUGUUAACACGAAUACAAAGAAUCGCAG